CCUACGGGAGGCAGCAGUGGGGAAUAUUGGGCAAUGGGCGCAAGCCUGAUGCAGCGACGCCGCGUGAGUGAAGAAGUAUUUCGGUAUGUAAAGCUCUAUCAGCAGGGAAGAAAAAAGACGGUACCUGACUAAGAAGCCCCGGCUAACUACGUGCCAGCAGCCGCGGUAAUACGGAGGGGGCAAGCGUUAUCCGGAUUUACUGGGUGUAAAGGGAGCGUAGACGGCGCGGCAAGUCUGAAGUGAAAGGAAGGGGCUUAACCCCUGAACUGCUUUUGAAACUGCCAUGCUUGAGUGCGGGAGAGGUAAGUGGAAUUCCUAGUGUAGCGGUGAAAUGCGUAGAUAUUAGGAGGAACACCAGUGGCGAAGGCGGCUUACUGGACAGUAACUGACGUUGAGGCUCGAAAGCGUGGGGAGCAAACAGGAUUAGAUACCCGGGUAGUC
This 441-nucleotide ribosomal RNA is filed under the name uncultured bacterium. RNAcentral describes it as "partial 16S ribosomal RNA". It matches the Rfam family "Bacterial small subunit ribosomal RNA", at positions 338 to 795 of the family's 1533-position model. The record is from RNAcentral.